Molecule: long non-coding RNA, 1917 nt
Organism: Rhincodon typus (whale shark)
Lineage: Eukaryota; Metazoa; Chordata; Chondrichthyes; Orectolobiformes; Rhincodontidae
Exons: 3
Source: RefSeq, a predicted model, not a curated record
UCCGCUGGGAGCGGGUGUUGGCGGCUGAGGUUGUAGUAGGCUAAGUUGGGAAUUUGUGACCACGAUAUUAGCUGUUAUAAACAUAAAAUAGCGAGCUUAUUGUUUGAGAAGAGAUACGGGGUAGUUGUCUCCACUUUAGGGGUCUCCGCGCCUUCAAAGAAGAGCCAGGCCCAAUGUGCGCCUGCGCUGUGCCGGCACUUCGGCGGAAGGGAGCUUGAAGGCGCAUGCGUGGUAUCGCUGUCAGGGUGGCACGGAUGGAUGCGGUGUCCGAUUCUGGAGCAGAGGCACGUUGCCGGGUUCUGAGAGGGUGGGGAUGUGGGGGAAGGUCACUGCCCUGAAACAUCGCUGUGCUAAUGUCCAACACAUUCCCGUGCCCCGUUUCCCCACUGGGGUUCAGUGGACAGGAGAUGCUGCAUCACAGCGCCCCUGGGAAGGAGUGAGGGGGAUGUGGGCUUUGUUCUGAGGCAGACUGGGCCAGUAUCUGUGGGAACGUGUAGGAUCCUGGUGACUGUGACAAUUCCAAGGAUGUCUCCUGUUGUGGGAGGGGGGAAACACGGUUUCUAAGAGACUUCUUUCAGACGGAGGAGUACAGGAAGUCUUAUCUCUCAGGCAGGAGUUUCCAGAGGGCAGUGUCCCCAGAGAUUGGUGAAGGGGCUGCCAUGGACUCUUUGCAAGUCGGAGAUGGGUAGCCCCAUGACUAACGAGGGAGUUAAAGAUGACCUGAUGUAGACAGGCCGGUGGGUUUGGGAGGGCAGUCAGAUCCCAUCGAGGUGCUGAAUGGCAUCGUCUUCGCUGCCCGCCUGUGGAGUGGGUAGAAACCAUGAGGACUAGUGAGGAAUCGGUUCAGCAGUGUGUCGUUGUGAUAGUUGCUGGCACCCAACUGCAGCAAAAAUACCCCUUUACCCCACCCCUGCCGAGGUAUUAUGUUGGCAGAAUUUCUGCCCUAAUGCCAAAGCUCUGUGGAUUUGCACAGCCCUUUCUCUGAAGCCAUGGAGCCAAAGUCUGAUCUCUGGCACUGAGCCCGGUUAGUUAGUGAGUGAGGGCGGGGGGGUGGUCUGUUUUGUUCAGACAGUCAAACAGUCCCAGUGGUCCAACCCGACCAAGUUUCCCAAACUGAACUAGUCCCAUCUGCCUGCGUUUGGCCUAUAUCCCACUAAAGCUUUCCUAUUCAUGUACCUGUCCAAAUGUCCUUUACAUGUUGUAACUGCACCUGCAUCUACCACUUCCUCUGGCAGUUCCUUCUGCAUACAAGCCACCCUCUUGUGUGAGAAAGAUCUGGCUAGAUUAUACCACCGUCUAUUCUCCCAGCCAGCAGUGAUUAUUGGGAGACGGGAAGAUUGUGGCCUAAUACUAGGGUACAACAGGCUCAGUAACUGAAGGGCUGUGAAUCCUGUAAAUGGUUCUUUGGCAGCUGCAGGAGCGGUGUAACAUAGCAGCGACCCUGCAACGUGGCUCUGAUACCAGUCUCUUGACACUCCCACUGGAGAAGACUGGAUUCUCUGGACCGAUCGUCCUUCCACAGGCUUGCUGGUGAGCCUGACCUUUGACCCACGGAUACUUCGGGAGCUGAACGCCAGGAGGCAGCAGAGAAUGCAUAUGCUGCUGGGGUCAGAUUGUGUUUGUAUGUGUGUUUGGAGGAGUGGUGGGGAACUGCUGAUCAGAUGGCAGCACGAGGCAGAUGGACUGAAUGGUCUGCCUGUGCUCCUGUGUAGAGCCUUGUCCCUGAGAGUGCGGCUGUCGACCACGUGGGGUCGGGACGGAGAGACCGAACAGCAAAGAGGCCUCCCUCUGUCAAGGCGAAUGUUGCUGAUGGAGCCAGGAGGGACGGGUGCCUCCCAAUGCAAAUAUUGACAUGGGCUUGCUCUGGCUCCAGUGUGAAAUGUGCUGUCUUUAUAAAUAAACAGUGUUUUUCAUAAA